UGUCUUCAGGGUAAGGUGUAAUUCCUAACCGGCGGUAUAGCCCGCGAGCGAAAGCUGAACUAGUUAAAUUCUAGUGCCGACAGUAAAGUCUGGAUGGAAGAAGAUU
This 106-nucleotide non-coding RNA is filed under the name human gut metagenome. RNAcentral describes it as "FMN riboswitch (RFN element)". It matches the Rfam family "FMN riboswitch aptamer (RFN element)". Rfam says of the family: The RFN element is a highly conserved domain that is found frequently in the 5'-untranslated regions of prokaryotic mRNAs that encode for flavin mononucleotide (FMN) biosynthesis and transport proteins. The record is from RNAcentral.